Molecule: long non-coding RNA, 1734 nt
Filed under: Vitis vinifera (wine grape)
Lineage: Eukaryota; Viridiplantae; Streptophyta; Magnoliopsida; Vitales; Vitaceae
Description: long non-coding RNA (VVIN_LNC000551)
Source: RNAcentral
CCAUGAGAAUCUGGACCAAUCAUCAACAAGUAACAAGAAAUAACAAGCACCUGUAGUUGCUUGAACUGGAGUUGGGCCCUAAAGAUUGGUAUGUAUGAGAUCCAAAACUUUAGUUGUCUUUGAUUGAGAAAGAGAAAAUGGUAAUUUGUGACUUUUCCCAUACUGACGUGUUGUACAGAUAGUUGAAUUAUUUUUCUGAAGAGAAACAUUACAAGAGGCUAAUGCAUGUUGAAGAAUAUCUGCAGAGGGGUGACCUAACCAAGCAUGCCAGAGAGUGGAUGGUGUUGUUCUCGUUGUGACUGUAGAGGUAACAAAAGCAGUUGGUGUUUAUCUUGGCACAAGCUGUCUUGGAAACUAGCAAAGACCUUGUUCAAGCUUGCCUUGUAGGAGUGUGUUCUUCGUUUGCUAAUCCUUGAUUACAAAAUGACGAUGAUGAAAUUCAACAAAUGAAUUAUUGUCAUGGCAUAGUUUAGAAACACUAAUGAGAUUUGUGGCAAGCUUCAGAGCAUGAAGAACCUUGUUUAGCUUGAAUUUCUUGUAUUUGGUAGAUAAAAGAGUGCAACCAAUGUGAUGUAUAGGAAGUUUCUUACCAUUUCCAAUAGAGACUUGAUAAGGUUCGUGAUAAGGAUGCACGACAGAUAGAUGAGUAACAUUGUUGGUCAGAUGAUGAGUUGCCCGUGUCAAGAAACCAAGAAUCCGAUGAUGCUGGAGAGGCUACCAUGGCUUGAACUUGGUUACUGUUGUCAUUAGGAAAUGUGUUAUUGUUGGGAGUUGUAUGUGGAAGAUGACUCCCUUGAAAAUUGAUAUCAAAUCGGUGAUAGCAUGAAGGAGCAAUGUGUUCGUAUUUGCCACAUAAUUGGCAUUGUGGUCUAUUGCCUUGAUGCUACUUAAAGCCUAGAUUUCGGUUGCCUAAGGAUCCUCUACUUUGAGGUUGUGCUGAGUUUGGUCUAGAAUUUUGAUAGUUGUUGCGAUUGCUAGAGAUCCUUCUGAUAUUGCCUCUCGUUUGUUGCAUUUGAGAGACAACAACAUGACCAGAUAUGGAGUCUUCUUUUGGGAUUGUGUUUUGAAAUUUCAGACAUUGUUCAUGUGUGAGAAGUAUGCUGUGAAUAGAGUGGAUGGAUAUGUCAUCUUCUCGAGCAGUGAUGGAAGCAACAAUAGGAUUGUAAUCAGCACCAAGUCCUCCCAGUAUCUGUAACACCUGGUCUUUUUUUAAGACUGGUUCUCCAAUAGCUACGAGAUUAUCAGCUAUAGUUUUCACUUUGAGAAGAUACUCCAUCAUGGACAUUGUGCCUUUGCGAGUUGUUUGAAACUCCAAUCGAAGUUGCAUUGCUCUUGCUUUGGAGGAGGUUGAAAAUAUCUUCACCAGAGACGUCCAAGCUUCAUGAGAGGUUUGGUAUCCAACUAUUUGCCCCAUGAUUUCAGGGGUAAGAGAAGAAUAUAACCGGCUAAGAAUCAUACGGUCAUAACUUCUCCAUGAAACGAAUUAUGGGUUUAUUGUGCCUGUAGCUGUCAUCUUGGUAGGGUGCAUAUUCAGUCCUUCACUAUGAUCUUCAAAGCCAUUGGCGAAGAUGACAUUCUCCAUUUAGGUUUGCCAUAAGAUGUAAUUGCUUUUGUCUAGUUUAACAGGGAGGGUAUGAUUUAGCAUUUGAAGAGAAUAGCUCGAUCCUGGGAGUGAAGUAAUCUGUGUGGGAGUUUGUGAUUCAGAGGAUGGAUUAAAGAAAGACAUGGUUAAAU